RNAcentral lists this ribosomal RNA (400 nucleotides) under uncultured bacterium. Its description in RNAcentral is "bacterial SSU rRNA". It matches the Rfam family "Bacterial small subunit ribosomal RNA", at positions 356 to 773 of the family's 1533-position model. The record is from RNAcentral.
GGGGAAUCUUAGACAAUGGGCGCAAGCCUGAUCUAGCCAUGCCGCGUGAUCGAUGAAGGCCUUAGGGUUGUAAAGAUCUUUCAGAUGGGAAGAUAAUGACUGUACCAUCAGAAGAAGCCCCGGCUAACUCCGUGCCAGCAGCCGCGGUAAUACGGAGGGGGCUAGCGUUAUUCGGAAUUACUGGGCGUAAAGCGCACGUAGGCGGAUCAGAAAGUUGGAGGUGAAAUCCCAGGGCUCAACCUUGGAACUGCCUUCAAAACUCCUGGUCUUGAGUUCGAGAGAGGUAAGUGGAAUUCCGAGUGUAGAGGUGAAAUUCGUAGAUAUUCGGAGGAACACCAGUGGCGAAGGCGGCUUACUGGCUCGAUACUGACGCUGAGGUGCGAAAGCGUGGGGAGCAAAC